GUGCUCGCUUUGGCAGCACAUAUACUAAAAUUGGAAUGAUACAGAGAUUAGCAUGGCCUGAGCAAGGAUGCCAUGCAAAUUUGUGAAGUGUUCCAUAUUUUU
RNAcentral lists this small nuclear RNA (102 nucleotides) under Panthera leo (lion). Lineage: Eukaryota; Metazoa; Chordata; Mammalia; Carnivora; Felidae. The record is from RNAcentral.